AUUGAACGCUGGCGGCAUGCUUUACACAUGCAAGUCGAACGGCAGCGCGGGCUUCGGCCUGGCGGCGAGUGGCGAACGGGUGAGUAAUGCAUCGGAACGUGCCCAGUAGUGGGGGAUAGCCCGGCGAAAGCCGGAUUAAUACCGCAUACGACCUGAGGGUGAACGCGGGGGACCGAAAGGCCUCGCGCUAUUGGAGCGGCCGAUGUCGGAUUAGCUAGUUGGUGGGGUAAAGGCUUACCAAGGCGACGAUCCGUAGCUGGUCUGAGAGGACGACCAGCCACACUGGGACUGAGACACGGCCCAGACUCCUACGGGAGGCAGCAGUGGGGAAUUUUGGACAAUGGGGGCAACCCUGAUCCAGCCAUGCCGCGUGCGGGAAGAAGGCCUUCGGGUUGUAAACCGCUUUUGUUCGGGAAGAAAUCCUCUGGGCUAAUACCCCGGGGGGAUGACGGUACCGGAAGAAUAAGCACCGGCUAACUACGUG
This 484-nucleotide ribosomal RNA is filed under the name uncultured bacterium. RNAcentral describes it as "partial 16S ribosomal RNA". It matches the Rfam family "Bacterial small subunit ribosomal RNA", at positions 28 to 507 of the family's 1533-position model. The record is from RNAcentral.